GAUAGAUAGAUAGAUAGAUAGAUAGAUAGAUAGAUAGAUAGAUAGAUAGAUAGAUAGAUAGAUAGAUAGAUAGAAAUAUAUUGUGUCUUGCAGUGUGUGCAUGCCAUGAGCAGGUUACGUGACUCAGCAAUGUAUGCCUUUGGCAAUGUGUGUUAUUUACUGUCUGGUUCACAUUGCUGUGAGUUCCUGUCUAAUUGAAAUGGGGCCAAGCUGGAGUGACUUUUUGCUUUUCUUUUCUUGCAGGCCACUGCUUUUGAAAGGAAAGAUGUUUAUUUCCUGAUAAUACAAGAUAGUGUGUUGUGUUAACAACUGUGUUAUAUUCAGUUUAUUGAAGGUGCAAAAGAGAUAUGUUGUGCUCUCCAAAAAGAAGGAUUUUGGGCGGAUUUUAUAGAUCCAUCAUCUGGCCUUGCAUUCUUCGGCUCAUACACAAACAACACGCUCUUUGAAACGGAUGAAAGAUACAGACAUUUAGGUUUUCAGAUCGAAGACCUGGGCUGUUGUAAAGUGAUCCGGCAUACGAUAUGGGGGACGCACGCUUUUGUGGGCACACUGUUCACCACUGCUCCACCCGACAGCCAAAUCAUGAAGAAGCUCCAAGGAAGCUGAAGAUAAUUAGUUAAGGAUGCUGUGUUGCUAUGGAAACAUGGUCAGGCGCAACACUAGAAAUAAACUUUGGAUGGUUCCUUACCUUUAUGCUUGAUCAGCAAAAUCAAACACACUAAAAUCUACAAUUCAAUAUGAAGUUGCCCAAUGACUGGUGCUAAGAUGUGUUUUGUUUUUGUAGAACAAGAGGCACUUUUGGUGUAACUUUUACUGUGGGGGCUUGUGCUACAGAGUCAAAUUCACUGUCAGGCAAUCAUGUAGGAUGUUCAAUGCAAGUCUUUGCCUGUGUUGCCUUUUUUAAAACACGCCCCUGAGAAAGUCCAUUAAAAAUGUGGGUUUAAAUGGGUUGCAAAGCUAAGAUUGUUUUCUGCUCCAGUGAUGCAAUAGAAUCCUUGACGAAAUUGAUAAUGUUAAUAUUAAAUAAAAUGUGAGAACUGUUACAAUAAUUAAAAUAUAUCAGAAAUGACUAAAGGCUUUUAGACUUUAAUUCAAUAACAUAAACUUUCUCCUUAGGUCCAUAAUAUUCACACAUAAUAAAUGGAGGAGAUCUACUUUCUCUAAUGUUCUUCUAAUGUUUUUCCCACUGUGUAAUUUAUAUAAUUUAUACAAUAAUUUGAAGCCACUGACCUUAAUGUUAAAAUCUGACCUUCUUCAUUCUGUCAUUAAUCAAACUAUAGAGAAAUGUAAGCUGCGAAGAUAAAAAAGCUUUUAUGACUCAGUCAGUGGCAAGUGUGCAGACUUUCUAAAUGUAAUGUUUUGCAAUUUGAGGGGGUGUUUCAUGGUUUACCUCAAUAUGAAAUGCAUUAGCAGUCUUAGCCUGUCUCUAAACUAAAUGGAGAAUGUUUUGGGCCGAUUAGCUUGAGGUUAGCAAAGGUAGCAGCUGCUGGGGUCAAUGUCUCCAGGGUACCAUUAGAAUUCAUUUAGAGUCACAACAGAUGGGCUAUAAUCAGUCUUCUUUAAACUCUGACACCACAAUUAUUUAGCCAGUUCUUCACUCUCCAUUAGCACGAGCUGUGAAUGAAUGAAUGAUCAUAAGACCCAUAUGAUCAACACAAAAGCACGAUUCUGUUUUCUGAAGUCUCUUAAUAAUGAUAUGGUAUAUUGACAUAACCGCUUACAGAAAGUUACCAAAUACAUAUAACUGUCAUGAUGUGUGGUCAAAUCAAAGCACGUGCUUGUUUAGAGACAGGCUCUGUCUGGAUAAUGAAUUAGGCCUAUAGGACAGUGGUCAGUCUUCACCCCAUGCAUGUCUGACAACCAAUCUUGAUUGACAUGACUAUCAAUUAGGCAUAAUUGUCCACCUAAAACUUUGUUCCUCCCCUUUGUCAGUUUGAAACCUUUCCCCAAGCUGGUGAAAUUGGGGGCAUAUUCUCCAAUGGGAUUCAAUAGCAUUUAAUAUGAUAUAAUAACAUCUAUUGUUCGUAUAAUAAAAAAUGUACUUUUGCUUUGAA
Long non-coding RNA from Triplophysa rosa, 2054 nucleotides. RefSeq lists it as uncharacterized. NCBI's taxonomy places the organism in Eukaryota, Metazoa, Chordata, Actinopteri, Cypriniformes, Nemacheilidae. The transcript has 2 exons. The record is from RefSeq and is a predicted model, not a curated record.